GAUGAACGCUGGCGGCGUGCCUAAUACAUGCAAGUCGAGCGAACAGACGAGGAGCUUGCUCCUCUGACGUUAGCGGCGGACGGGUGAGUAACACGUGGAUAACCUACCUAUAAGACUGGGAUAACUUCGGGAAACCGGAGCUAAUACCGGAUAAUAUAUUGAACCGCAUGGUUCAAUAGUGAAAGACGGUUUUGCGGUCACUUAUAGAUGGAUCCGCGCCGCAUUAGCUAGUUGGUAAGGUAACGGCUUACCAAGGCAACGAUGCGUAGCCGACCUGAGAGGGUGAUCGGCCACACGAGAACUGAGACACGGACCAGACUCCUGCGGGAGGCCGCAGUCGGGCAUCUUCCGCAAUUGGCGAAUGCCUGACGGAGCACCGCCGCGUGAGUCAUGAAGGUCUUCGGAUCGUAAAACUCUGUUAUUAGGUAAGAACAAUUGUGUAAGUACCUAUGCACGUCUUGACGGUACCUAAUCAGAAAGCCACGGCUAACUACGUG
RNAcentral lists this ribosomal RNA (497 nucleotides) under uncultured bacterium. RNAcentral describes it as "partial 16S ribosomal RNA". It matches the Rfam family "Bacterial small subunit ribosomal RNA", at positions 28 to 507 of the family's 1533-position model. The record is from RNAcentral.